GUUGUUGUGAUGGUUAUCCCGCUCUGUAUGAGAGGGACCGCAGGUUCAGACAUCUGGUUUGUGCACUUGUGUGAGGAGCCAAUGGUGCAAAGCUAAUAUCUGCAAGAUUAUGGCUGAACGCCUAUAAGUCAGAACCCCACCUAGACGCAAUGAU
Non-coding RNA from Danio rerio (zebrafish), 154 nucleotides. The record is from Rfam. Lineage: Eukaryota; Metazoa; Chordata; Actinopteri; Cypriniformes; Danionidae.